This 441-nucleotide long non-coding RNA is filed under the name Pan troglodytes (chimpanzee). Its description in RNAcentral is "long non-coding RNA NONPTRT013104". The record is from RNAcentral. Lineage: Eukaryota; Metazoa; Chordata; Mammalia; Primates; Hominidae.
AUAAAACCACAAAGAUGGGGAAAACACAGAGCAGAAAAACUGGAAACUAUAAAAAUCAGAGCGCCUCUCCUCCUCCAAAGGAAUGCAGCUCCUCACCAGCAAUGGAACAAAGCUGAACAGAGAAUGACUUCGACAAGUUGAGAGAGGAAGGCUUCAGAAGAUCAUGCAGAUGACAUGACUGAAUAUCUAGAAAACCCCAUCAUCUCAGCCCAAAAUCUCCUUAAGCUGAUAAGCAACUUCAGCAAAGUCUCAGGAUACAAAAUCAAUGUGCAAAAAUCACAAGCAUUCUUAUACACCAAUAACAGACAAACAGAGAGCCAAAUCAUGAGUGAACUCCCAUUCACAAUUGCUUCAAAGAGAAUAAAAUACCUAGGAAUCCAACUUACAAGGGACGUGAAGGACCUCUUCAAGGAGACCUGCAAACCACUGCUCAAUGAAAUA